Molecule: ribosomal RNA, 495 nt
Filed under: uncultured bacterium
Lineage: Bacteria
Description: partial 16S ribosomal RNA
Rfam family: Bacterial small subunit ribosomal RNA
Source: RNAcentral
GAUGAACGCUGGCGGCGUGCCUAAUACAUGCAAGUCGAGCGAACAGACGAGGAGCUUGCUCCUCUGACGUUAGCGGCGGACGGGUGAGUAACACGUGGAUAACCUACCUAUAAGACUGGGAUAACUUCGGGAAACCGGAGCUAAUACCGGAUAAUAUAUUGAACCGCAUGGUUCAAUAGUGAAAGACGGUUUUGCUGUCACUUAUAGAUGGAUCCGCGCCGCAUUAGCUAGUUGGUAAGGUAACGGCUUACCAAGGCAACGAUGCGUAGCCGACCUGAGAGGGUGAGCGGAAACAGUGGAACUGAGACACGGUCCAGACUACUACGGGAGGCAGCAGUAGGGAAUGUUCAGCAAUGGGCGAAAGCCUGACAGAGCAACGCCGCGUGAGUGAUGAAGGUCUUAGGAUCGUAAAACUCUGUUAUUAGGGAAGAAAAAAUGUGUAAGUAACUAUGCACGUCUUGACGGUACCUAAUCAGAAAGCGACGGCUAACUACG